This 58-nucleotide transfer RNA is filed under the name Salmo salar (Atlantic salmon). It matches the Rfam family "tRNA", at positions 8 to 63 of the family's 71-position model. Rfam says of the family: Transfer RNA (tRNA) molecules are approximately 80 nucleotides in length. Their secondary structure includes four short double-helical elements and three loops (D, anti-codon, and T loops). RNAcentral also lists the same sequence under 1 other name. The record is from Rfam by way of RNAcentral. Lineage: Eukaryota; Metazoa; Chordata; Actinopteri; Salmoniformes; Salmonidae.
UGGCUCAGUUGGUAGAGCAUGGUGUUUGCAAUGCCAGGAUUGUGGGUUCAAUUCCCAC